AGCCCCUAUCCCAGGAGGGAGUCGCUGCAGCUGGGCUAGGUCAGGCCUGCGAAGCCCCCAGAUGAGGAACCUGCACCUUUCCACUGGGCAUUACCCCGGGCCUGGGACAAAAGCCCAGAAAAAGUCUGAGCAGAACCUUUCUCCAGGGUGCCUUCAACUCUCUCUUUGGGAAAGCCCCACAGGGUGCGGACAGCCCAGCCCCAUUCUCCGUGCUCAAGGGCCCUUGCUCACCAUCACCAGUGCCAACAGGAAACAAGUCUCCGUUACUGUGAGAACAUCAUGGAAGAAAAGGAAAGUGGCCUUGGCCAAGCCGGACACCCUUCUAAGCCUUUCACCUUCUCACUCAGGCUGCACGGAGAGACUCAUCUAGAUGAAUGAAUCUCAGCAGCAUUCACCUCAGGGUGAAGGCACUCGGGGAUCAUGUUUCCCAAGGUUUCUGUCUUCUGGGGCCCUAAAUUGUCCAGGAUUGUGUGCAGACAGUUGCCCAGACAACCAUCUGGUAUAAGAAAACACCCAAAGCAGAUGCAGAGGGCGACUUUUUAGCAGUGCGCGGCCGCCAUCCCUGCUGGCCGGGCUGUGAUAGCCUGAGCGUCCCCGCACCGCCCCGCGGGGCGCGGGAGGCGCCGAGUGGGCCCGACCAGGGGCGCACCGGGCUCGUCUCCUCAUCCCCUGCCAAGGUCACUUCCGCCGGGGUGGCGCUGCGCUCGCGCCCCGACCCGCCGCCCACC
This is a long non-coding RNA of Phyllostomus hastatus (greater spear-nosed bat), 728 nucleotides long. RefSeq lists it as uncharacterized. NCBI's taxonomy places the organism in Eukaryota, Metazoa, Chordata, Mammalia, Chiroptera, Phyllostomidae. The transcript has 3 exons. The record is from RefSeq and is a predicted model, not a curated record.